Molecule: non-coding RNA, 71 nt
Organism: Phrynosoma platyrhinos (Desert horned lizard)
Lineage: Eukaryota; Metazoa; Chordata; Lepidosauria; Squamata; Phrynosomatidae
Source: the annotation of a GenBank genome assembly
ACCAGCAUGGCGUAGUGGUUUGAGCAUAGGACUGUGACUCUGGAGACCAGGGUUCGAAUCCUGGCUUGGCC